This 726-nucleotide long non-coding RNA is filed under the name Equus asinus (donkey). RNAcentral's name for it is "lncRNA (ENSEASG00005035181.1)". Lineage: Eukaryota; Metazoa; Chordata; Mammalia; Perissodactyla; Equidae. The record is from RNAcentral.
CUUUUAUAUUAAACCCAUAAUCUAGGUGGUUCAAAUCACAGUGUUGGUGAUGUCACUCCUGCCACCUCUCCUGAGAUUGGCGUGGUUCUGCUGUCAAAAACUUGGAAAAUACUGAAUCAUCUCCCCGAGGAAAAUUGGUGCUUCUCAGCUUCAGACUUGAGUUUCCAGCGAGAAUAAGACAGAGGCGCAUCCUACUGGGAAGCAGUGGGGCUGGGACAAGUCAAAGGCCUCCCUCAAUCCACUCACAGUUCUUCAUCUCUUCAGGGUGAUUUGCCUGUCACCAUCCAUAUGGUGCCUGAGGCAAAGGGUUAGUACUGCUGCUGGUGACAUACCCUAGAGCAGCGGCUGCAGCAAUUACCUGGGAGUCACAUUAUAUUUGCAGUUUGUUCGGAGGGAUGGAUGGAAGAGACUGCAGGUCAACAUCAAGUUUUUUGGUCAGACUUAGCAAAUACAGGAAUAAAAAUAUGACCGCAACGGUCAUUUACAUAUAAGCUACUUUAACCUUAUGUCUCUGCACCCUUGAAUGCGUCCUUCUGUUUCUGUUUCUGAAGUUCUUACACUAUAGAACUACUUCAUGGGACUAUAUUUGACACGAGACUUACUUUCCUGUAGGUGAACAGACUUUGCUCAAGCACUAUCAGAGAUAGGGAGAGAGAAGGAAGCAACGAUAAAGGGAAUACAGUAAAGUGAUUUAAGGAUGAUUUUUAAAAAUGAACUCAAAUGAUG